This 643-nucleotide long non-coding RNA is filed under the name Helianthus annuus (common sunflower). RNAcentral's name for it is "hypothetical non coding rna". The record is from RNAcentral. Lineage: Eukaryota; Viridiplantae; Streptophyta; Magnoliopsida; Asterales; Asteraceae.
GUGGGUGUGUGUGACCGUGAGAACAAGACCAAGGGGGAAACCCUAUUUCUUCAAAAUCUUGCAAAUUAAAGGAGAAAAGGGCUAAAUUUUGAAUGCAUGAACUAAGAAUGAUGAUCAUCUAAGCAUACCCAACAUCAAGAACGUGUCAAGGAGAGGUCAAGCAUAGGAGGAUAACGGGUCAAGAUAAGGCAAGGUGACAAAUACACUUAUUGGAGUACUCGAGGAAAUUUUAUAAGUAUAUGUGUAUGGGAAUCCAAAGGCCACGUGGAAUGAAUCGUAGAUUGUCUAUACUAUGUAAAGUUGUAUGGGAUCGUUGGCUUCAUGAAGAAAUGGAGCUGGAUUUGGAUAAGAGUAUUUAAGAAAGCGCUUGGACAAUUCCACGACUACUUUAUAGAAUGCUCUACGAAAUUUUAUUAUAUAGUUUAAUGUUGAAUGGUAUGUUAAUGACUAAUGGUUUGGUUGUACGUGGUGUCCACAGGUAUCGCUUGGGUUUUCUCUACAUUUAUUGAAGUGAAGCGGACUUAGUUCGAGUUGAGAGCAAGGAUUGUACGGGGUAGAAUGGUCACAUAGUGUAACUCAUAUAGGUUUUGAAGUAUUAAUGUUAUAAAACGUUAUAAAUCCGUUUUAAUGAAUAUAUGGCAUU